This 336-nucleotide long non-coding RNA is filed under the name Nicotiana benthamiana. Its description in RNAcentral is "long non-coding RNA (NBEN_LNC037588)". Lineage: Eukaryota; Viridiplantae; Streptophyta; Magnoliopsida; Solanales; Solanaceae. The record is from RNAcentral.
AUUGGUUGACUAAGAGGAGACAAGUCCGCAGUAGGUAUAGAAUCUGAUGCAGGACGUGAAUCACCUAGACCUGAUGCUGCAUCUGGACGGCGAUGAUAAGUCAAGAGUGGCGGAGUUGCAGAAGGUUGAACUGAAUUAUGUGGAGGAAUUGGACCUAUGUGGUGGAACUGGAGCUAUAGAUGGUGGAACGAGAGAUGUAGAGGAAGUUGGAUGGGUCAUGGGAGAUAGUGACUGAAUCUCCAAUAGAAAAGACCGGUGGUUAGGGGUGUUCAAAACCGAACCGAAUCGUAAACCGAACCGUAACCGAAGCUUAAUGGCUUAUUGGUAUCGGGUUAA